RNAcentral lists this small RNA (1845 nucleotides) under Malus domestica (apple). RNAcentral describes it as "sRNA MD08G0062400". The record is from RNAcentral. Lineage: Eukaryota; Viridiplantae; Streptophyta; Magnoliopsida; Rosales; Rosaceae.
UUUACGUUUGCUGUCAUUCAGUGAAGGUUUCGGGGAUGGGAGGCCAUGUCGCCGAUAGAGAGGGAGAGGGAGAGAGAGAGAGAGAGAGGGAGAGGGAUCCUGGCAUGGGUGGGUUUAGGUUUGUUGUCAUUCGACAGGAGGCCAUGCCGCUUCUGAGAUAGAGGGAGAGAGAGACGGGGACAGAGCGAGAGAGAGGGAUUUCAGGGAUUUGCAAAUCCUUCCCCUUCACACAGAAGCUCCGCAAAUCAGUAGGCCCAGCCUCUAACUCUCAUCCCCAGAUCCCCUUCAUACUGCAAAUGAAUUCCUUCCCCUUCAGUUCCUCCGCUCUCAAACCUCACUUUCUUCCUCUCACAAAUACCAACGAAGAACAUGAUCAAGGACACACGGCGCACCAACGCCUCCAUUUUCCGUCGAAACAUCACCACAGAACCACCCACUCCCUCCAUUCUGCUCAGGACACACAGGCGAUUGCCUUUCACUGUGCAGUGGCUACUGCCACUGUUCAUCGGCUUCUCCUACGAGACAGCAAGGGUAUAUCACUAUGGAAGAACUAGAGCAAGUCCUCCACGAAUAAGGCUUCCAUGAUGAAUUUUAAUCUUUCCAGGUACAACCGUAUUUCACUCCCUCUGGUCAAUCUUUGAUUUUGAGUCUUUCCGAAAGCUGCUAUCAUCUCCAAAAUCCUUAUUCUGGUAUGUAGAUAGCUGCUAGGUGCUGCAACUCACUAAGUUUGGCCACAUGCCUUCAUUGUAGCAUAUGCCCUCUGUGACAAGUAUAUAUAUUUUGGCCAUUUGAUAAUGUGAAUGAAUACGCAAGGUUUUGAUGAUACUAUGUAGUCGGGUUUGUACUUACUCUUGGGCUGCCGCUGGCAUUGGCCUUCAAUUCACCAUUAAAUGCGGAAGAGGAAGUCCACCCUGCCAUAUGGUUAGAGCCUUGGAGUUACAGGGCAUCCAGUAGCUCAGGUUGGCAUUCAGGUUGGCGAUCAGAGUAGCACAACACUACUACGCGAAAUUGGCUUUGGGAUUUGUUCUGUAAAGCCUGUUGGGUGCAAUUCAAUUUCCUCCUCCUUCCCCCUGAACGACAAAAUCGAAACCCACAACUCAAAACUCACUCAUUUGUCGCCCCUCCUUGGCUUGCCGCUUUACUCAUCUCCCGAUGGUUCUUUCUCUCCAUUCCAUUAGAUUUCGUGCGAUUGAAAAUCGGGACUUUGUGGUGGGCGGUUCAUUAACUAAGCUUUCAAGGGGAGCCCAUCAACGGUUUGCUUGCUGGGGGAAUACGGAGACUACCAGUCUGUGUGGCAAUGGAUACAUUCUUCAACAGCAGCGUGUUAUCCCGGUUAUCAUAUGCUAUUCAUUGUGAUUUGCAAGGUUUCCCAAAAUAACAACACUCAAAACAAUGGAUGAUGUAAGAAUUUGUCGCCAAGGGUUUCAGAGAAGGGUGGUUUCACAGGAAUUGAAGCUCUGGCUCUCGGUUGAGAAGCAAGAAAUUACAAUUGAAAAAGCCAUGCGUAAUAAGCGUAAAUGUAUCACCACUGUGAAAGGGCUGCAGCUUUUUGCGGAGUUCAAAGUCAAGAGGGAAAGAAAGCACAGAUUCCGGUCGACACUUGAACAGUCUGCAAUUAAAUUCAGAGAUUGUUGGGACUUCUCAGGUUGACUGCGACCUGGGUAAUCAGAAAAAAAAAAAAAAAAAAAAAGAAGUGACUUUCUGGAGGAGAGUCCGACAAUACCAAACAAAAAUCCAAAAUUGCUCUUCAACAAGUGGGUUAAUUGUAAAGUCAUUCAAUCGGUUCUUUUAUAUUCCCGGCUUUUAUUUGCAUAUGUUUUUAUUUCUCAUAUUUUCAUUUUUGUG